GAAAAGACCUGCGUCUAACGUGCGUCCAAGAGGCUCUACACCUGGCGGGACGAGCACAGGCCUCGGCAGCAGACGGUACCCUGACUAGGAAGCAACAUUACUGCAAGUGGAAUGAUCCUUGUGGUGUUAGGAUGCUGUGGAAGUGAUUCUUCGAAAGCUUUAUGGUGGACAGAUUCUGCAGGUUCUGUAUGGCGACGAGAGGCGAGAUGCAAGGCAAGGAGAUGACUGCAAACCAGAAGAUGACCUUGAGGGUCAUUCUAACAGAGGCGGAUAUAAGAAAAGUCAUCCUAACCACAAGGCCCUCUACAGUUGAAGAUUUGAUAAGCAAGCUUAAAGAAUCACUGGGACUUCAUUAUAACUUUAGUCUCCAAUACCAAGACCCUGAAUUCAAUAAUGAACUAUGCAAUCUGACAGCUACUGAAGAACUUCCAGAAAAACCAACAAUUAAAGUCAUGCCUGUCCUUGAGCUGGUACCUGUCUCAUCUGAUGAAGUCUUCAGUGACACACCCAGUACAGCAGAUACAGACAUACUCUCACACUCAUCUCAGGAGCGACAUAAACAGUGGCCAGAAUUUUUUGAUAUCCCUACCAUGUCUGUGGAUGUAGAGUAUAGACUUAGGCAAGCAGAUCUGCUGUUUAUGAGUGAGGGUACAUACCUUUAAAGUAUCAAAAGAACUAAAACACGAGAUACUUGAAAGAUUGGCAGAGAGCAUGUAUAGCUACACAGCAUACCCAACUGCUGCUCAGUUCGAAAGUGUUGCAGCAGCACUGAUAAACAAGCACCCUUGUCUCCAGGAGCGAGGCUCAACCACUCGCUGUUGUGGUUGGAAAAAUAGCCUUAAGCAUAAAAUGGGUAAU
This is a long non-coding RNA of Micropterus salmoides (largemouth bass), 858 nucleotides long. RefSeq lists it as uncharacterized. The record is from RefSeq and is a predicted model, not a curated record. The transcript has 4 exons. NCBI's taxonomy places the organism in Eukaryota, Metazoa, Chordata, Actinopteri, Centrarchiformes, Centrarchidae.